AGUGAACGCUGGCGGUAUGCCUAACACAUGCAAGUCGAACGGCAGCACAGUAAGAUCUUGCUUUUACGGUUGGCGAGUGGCGGACGGGUGAGGAAUACAUCGCAAUCUACUUUUUCGUGGGUGAUAACGUAGGGAAACUUCCGCUAAUACCGCAUACGACCUACGGGUGAAAGCAAGGGUUCUUCGCACCUUUCCCGUUUCAAUGAGCCGAUGUCGGAUUAGCUAGUUGGCGGGGUAAAGGCCCACCAAGGCGACGAUCCGUAGCUGGUCUGAGAGGAUGAUCAGCCACACUGGAACUGAGACACGGUCCAGACUCCUACGGGAGGCAGCAGUAGGGAAUAUUGGACAAUGGGCGCAAGCCUGAUCCAGCAAUACCGCGUGGGUGAAGAAGGCCUUCGGGUUGUAAAGCACUUUUGUUGGGAAAGAAAAGCAGCAGGUUAAUACACGGAUGUUCUGACGGUACCCAAAGAAUAAGCACCGGCUAACUUCGUG
This 492-nucleotide ribosomal RNA is filed under the name uncultured bacterium. Its description in RNAcentral is "partial 16S ribosomal RNA". It matches the Rfam family "Bacterial small subunit ribosomal RNA", at positions 29 to 507 of the family's 1533-position model. The record is from RNAcentral.